CAAGUCUGGUGCCAGCAGCCGCGGUAAUUCCAGCUCCAAUAGCGUAUAUUAAAGUUGUUGCAGUUAAAAAGCUCGUAGUUGGAUUUCUGUUAAUAAUUUAUAUAAAAUAUUUUGAAUAUUUAUAUAACAUUAACAUAAUUCAUAUUACUAUAUUUUUUAGUAUAUGAAAUUUUACUUUGAGAAAAUUAGAGUACUUAAAGCAGGCAUAUGCCUUGAAUACUCCAGCAUGGAAUAAUAUUAAAGAUUUUUAUCUUUCUUAUUGGUUCUAAGAUAAGAAUAAUGAUUAAUAGGGACAGUUGGGGGCAUUUGUAUUUAACAGUCAGAGGUGAAAUUCUUAGAUU
RNAcentral lists this ribosomal RNA (341 nucleotides) under Cryptosporidium parvum. RNAcentral's name for it is "SSU rRNA". It matches the Rfam family "Eukaryotic small subunit ribosomal RNA", at positions 556 to 926 of the family's 1831-position model. The record is from RNAcentral. Lineage: Eukaryota; Apicomplexa; Conoidasida; Eucoccidiorida; Cryptosporidiidae.